Molecule: transfer-messenger RNA, 396 nt
Filed under: Clostridiales bacterium
Lineage: Bacteria; Bacillati; Bacillota; Clostridia; Eubacteriales
Also listed under: 1 other name
Rfam family: transfer-messenger RNA
About the family: Bacterial tmRNA, also known as 10Sa RNA or SsrA, is named for its dual tRNA and mRNA-like properties. Its role is to liberate the mRNA from a stalled ribosome.
Source: RNAcentral
GGGGACGAUUUUGGUUUCGACGGGGAUAAAGGCUGGAUAUGUAAAGCGCGUGGUGGCGCUCAACCACCUUAAAAUGAGCAUGCGAAAAUAAACGCAGACGAAAACAACAAUGUUGUUUCAAUGAACACAGUUGCUUGCGCAGCUUAACUUCGUUUAAACAACGACCUGAUUGAAAUUUCAAUCUGCUCACCUUUGGUUUUGCCAACCUUAGAUUGGGUAUCAUUUAGGCAAAAAUUCUGCAUUGAGAAGCCUUUGUAGGUGUAGAAAAUCACUAAGGAUAGUUUUUGAAACCUGUUUAUGGGUGAUUUGAAAGCGAAACUCAAACAUAAACUAAACGCGUAGAAAGAUAUUUUGUCUUGUUUUCGGACGAGGGUUCAAUUCCCUCCGUCUCCACCA